This 253-nucleotide ribosomal RNA is filed under the name uncultured bacterium. Its description in RNAcentral is "partial 16S ribosomal RNA". It matches the Rfam family "Bacterial small subunit ribosomal RNA", at positions 524 to 776 of the family's 1533-position model. The record is from RNAcentral.
UACGUAGGUGGCAAGCGUUGUCCGGAUUUACUGGGCGUAAAGAGCGCGCAGGCGGCUGGUCAAGUCCGAUGUGAAAGCUCCCGGCUUAACUGGGAAACGGCAUCGGAAACUGAUCGGCUUGAAGGUGGGAGAGGGUAGUGGAAUUCCCGGUGUAGAGGUGAAAUUCGUAGAUAUUCGGAAGAACACCAGUGGCGAAGGCGACUCACUGGCCCGUUACUGACGCUGAGGCGCGAAAGCGUGGGGAGCAAACAGG